UUGCUGGGUUGGGUUUCGAUAUUUUUCGUGUUCUUCAUUUUUAUUUUUAUUUUGUAUUUGAUAUAUUUUGUUCAAUAAUUUUUUUUUGUUUUUGUGUUUCUUUGGUAUUUAAUUUAUUUUUUUUACUUUGGUUUUGUUUUUUGGGUUGUUUUUUUACUCAAACCAUGAUUUUUUGUUCGGUUUAUGGUCGAACCAAAAGAGUCAGGUCAACUCGAUCAGGUUAAAAAUGGG
Molecule: long non-coding RNA, 231 nt
Filed under: Populus trichocarpa (black cottonwood)
Lineage: Eukaryota; Viridiplantae; Streptophyta; Magnoliopsida; Malpighiales; Salicaceae
Description: long non-coding RNA (PTRI_LNC002008)
Source: RNAcentral